RNAcentral lists this ribosomal RNA (1248 nucleotides) under Triticum aestivum (bread wheat). Its description in RNAcentral is "partial small subunit ribosomal RNA". Lineage: Eukaryota; Viridiplantae; Streptophyta; Magnoliopsida; Poales; Poaceae. The record is from RNAcentral.
CAACCGACCAGGAUACUCGAUCGGGUGAGGUAGUAUGAUUUUUUUGUACGCUCGUCAAAAGAAUAGUGAGCAGCCGCAAGGAGAUAGGUGGCCUGGGAAGGAUAGAGCGAUAACGCCUCCGCCGCCGUCGCUGCUGCGGCCUCCCUGCUGGUCCUCCGCUACCGAUGGAGGGAGCGCACACCUCAUAAAGGGAAAGGGAGAGAGUACACCUUCGCUAAACCUCCGCUGCACCCGCGACGUUUCCAGGCCGCGUUCGAGCCGACGCUGUUGCCUGAAGAGGCUGCGGGGAGAGGUGUUAACCGCCAGGAGAGCGGCCGUUUACUCCUAACUUUAAGACGGUUCUUUAGAGUCUCGUCUUCUACAAACGUUCCCUGAACCCUCUGCUCCGUUACGACGCGUCCGCUCUUUUACCGUUAAACCUAAGCACCAAUGGUGGCCAGAGCUCAAUCUAAAUAAAGUUAACGUUGGUCCGUCUCACAACACUUAAACUUAAACCCACAUGUACUAGAAUGAUCGAAGAUUAAGAUGACUCGGUAUGCCUACUACCACACAAACGAGAGUGUGUAAAUAAGUUUCCUAGUAACACUACUUACUAUGGUUAAGAUCCAACGACCUUGAACGUAGGUUAGGAAGAUAAGGGUUGACCACUCAAAUAUCCAACGUCACAAACACCACCAGAGGAGGACUACCUCAAGUCAUAUACGGGAAGAACAAAUGGAUUUUUAGAGAAGAGAGGAUUCUAGAACAUCCUUAGAAAGAAAAAAGGAAUUCUUCGUACGAUGGUUACCUGCAGUCUACAAGGUCGUGGCUUUUCAACCACUGGUACGAACCCACAAAGUCUGAAGUAUAUUUUUCGUAAAUAAAAAAUGAAAGUCCCUAACGAGGUAGAACGUCAAAUAUUAUGCCGACCUGUUAAUGCUAAAGUGUAUAUAGACUUUUUGGUGUCGGGUAGACACAAGAUAUUUGCAACCACACCAGAAUACACGUGGUUCUUAAGACAGUAAUUGUAUUCCAGAAGUCUUUCCUCAUAUAGGUCACAAAGAAGAGGAAUGGACAGUGUACGGUGUCGACACGCUCCUACAGCAGCCGGCACAUAACCCACUACCACGCCAACAAGACGGCGGCCGAUGAGAGGUGUCCUCCUUCGUGCAUGCGUUCGUACAUUACCAGUAAAGAAAAACAUUAAUCGUACAUUACCAGUAACCCAUCGUGUGCUACUAGCUAGGUAUAUCCUACGAUAAUUAGACC